This 440-nucleotide ribosomal RNA is filed under the name uncultured bacterium. Its description in RNAcentral is "partial 16S ribosomal RNA". It matches the Rfam family "Bacterial small subunit ribosomal RNA", at positions 338 to 795 of the family's 1533-position model. The record is from RNAcentral.
CCUACGGGAGGCAGCAGUGGGGAAUAUUGCACAAUGGGGGAAACCCUGAUGCAGCGACGCCGCGUGAGUGAAGAAGUAUUUCGGUAUGUAAAGCUCUAUCAGCAGGGAAGAAAAUGACGGUACCUGAUUAAGAAGCCCCGGCUAACUACGUGCCAGCAGCCGCGGUAAUACGUAGGGGGCCAGCGUUAUCCGGAUUUACUGGGUGUAAAGGGGGCGUUGACGGCAGCACAAGGCUGGAGGGAAAUGCCGGGGCUUAACCCCGGAACUGCUUUGGAAACUGUGCAGCUAGAGUGCAGGAGAGGUAAGUGGAAUUCCUAGUGUAGCGGUGAAAUGCGUAGAUAUUAGGAGGAACACCAGUGGCGAAGGCGGCUUACUGGACUGUAACUGACGUUGAGGCUCGAAAGCGUGGGGAGCAAACAGGAUUAGAUACCCCGGUAGUC